Long non-coding RNA from Homo sapiens (human), 2844 nucleotides. Lineage: Eukaryota; Metazoa; Chordata; Mammalia; Primates; Hominidae. The record is from Ensembl.
GGAGUUGGAGGAAGAACUCCAACUCCAGGACUCCAACUCUAACUCCACCCUCUCUCCACCCACUCUCAACACUGUGCGGUAGUUUCAAGGGUUCCAAGACUUGCUGUGGACUAGAACUGCAAUCAGUAGAGGUAUAGAAACUGUCAGUUGCUGGAACAGGAUCCGUUUGGAAUAAGGCAGAUAAAUGCACUAAGAGACUGCUGAGAACUGAUUGGGCAUCAAGACACUGAACUGUAGGGGUGAUGAGAAGACUUUGCAUUUGACCAAAAAGCACUAGUAAAUAAGGAGUUAAAAUGAAGGCAGGCUCGCUGGUUUGCUGAGAUCUGUCAGAGUCUGACUGGCUGGCUACAUAUCUGUCUCUGGAACAAUAGGUACCUGUAUUCUGCACGGACUGCUGGGCAGCACUAGCACUCUGGAGAAGGUCUGCCGCUGUCUGCACUUUCCUGGUUCUAUGCAGGCAGAUGAGUGUCACAGCUGUAACUGAGGCACAGAGCAGUACACACAGUGGAGCCGAUUUCCGCGAUGGCGAGAGGGGGCACCGGAGGUGACAACAAUAACAAGACUGUCCUUCGGACAAGUUUUAGCGCUGAAUAUCUUCAGGAAAAUGGGUUCCAUGAGAAGUGACAUCCUCCUCGAAUCAAAAGAUUCUCAGGAUGAUGGAGUGAGUGAUGGAAUAGGUUGCCAACUGUAGUUACUCCACUCAGCACAGAAUGGCUGCGGGGAAAUAUAAUCAGACAUGCCCAAAGAAGUCUGCUUAGGGUGAAACAAAUACCUUUGAGGUUUAAAUCAGAAAGGAAGGAGAGACUGUUUCUACAGGUGUCAUACAAAAAUCAAUACUGAGCCAAGGAUUAUUGGAUCCCAUAGAACCACGGAGACUUGGUAGUGAAAUUCUUCCAAAGCAUUCCAUCCGUGCAGGCAGAUGGUGUUCCUAGGUUUGGAAAUAUAAAUCCCAUGGGAAGUCAGCUGAAGACCAUUUUAUGCAUCACUCAUCCUGUUAGAGCCCUGUGCUGUUCUGUCUCUCUAUAAGACUGGCUGAAACCACCACGGUUGUUUACAAUUUAUGCUCUAACUUUGGAUCACCUAGUUAAUACUCUAACUCCGAUUAUUACCAAAGACAAUGUUCUAUAAAAGAUAUUGUCUAUUAGAAGGAUGCUUCUGCAUUAUUAAUAAAAUCACAGGGAAAAUGCAACAUUUUGGAUGUCACAUCUGAUAAGUUGGCAGUUAAAGAACAGAAACAGCAAUAAGACUGCGUGGCUACAUUUUCCCAGUGCCACCAACUGGGAUUUAAGCUGACUAACAUUUUGAAAGCCCAGCCCAUUUCAUUCACAGCAGGAUGGCAGUGGGUGACUGAUCGUACCCGCCAGCUGGCUAAUGUCAUAAUUAACAAAGUUGCUACUACAUCUGCAAAGUUUAAUCGAAAAAUUUGCCAGUGAUAUGAUGGCCUUGUCACAGAGAUCACAAGGGACACGGAGUUGACUUUUGCUCAAGGUGGAACGACAGAGCUGUGUAGGCAAGAUGAGAAAUUGCGAACUUGUUCGGCCAAAGGAGGCUAAUAAUGAAGGGGCCGGGAAGGAGGCCAGUGCUACCAGGGUUAUCUCACAACCUCAGAUGCUGGAUAAGUCGACGGAGGCAGAAUCGCUUUGGGAUGACAUUCAGAAAGCCUGGAGUGAUUACUUGCAAGAGAAAAGCCUACCUAUUCUUUCCAAGGUGCAGGAAUAUUCCCCUGACCUGCUCAUCCAGUGGUCCAGUAAUGAAUUACUGGAGACCUGCCUUAGACAAAGAAUGCACUCGGAGCCCCAACACACCUAAAGCCAUGCUUUGAAGGAUCUGCCAAGCUCACUUUUAAUCAUGAGAAAGAAAUUACCCACACGGAGUCAGCAGAAAAUGAGAAAGUAGAGCUCGUGCUGUGAAUAAUUCCAGCAAGUGCCAAGGGGCUAGUUGAGGAAUGGCUUCAUGAGAACAUGCUCUAGGGGAACUAUUAAUAGCCCACCAGUCGGGUAGGCAGCAUUCAAUCCUUCUAUGCCUUCUUUCGCCACCUGUUGAGGUCUUUCUUCUGAAACAAAGAAGAAAUAGACAAAUCAGACUUGCCCUCUUGGAAAUGUGGUCCAGAUUUCUCUACUCCCAAGCUCCAAAAAAGGUAUACAUUGGAUGGGCUAGAUCAACUCCUCCUGAGAGCCAUAAAUCCGCCAAGAGUUGUUUUCCAUGUAAGGGUGUGGUACAAUGGGGAACACCUGAUGUUGGAGGAAAGCAGGAGGACUUUAGAGUGGAGUUGCAUUCUAAUCUCUCUGCCGCUUCAACUAUGUGACCUGGGGCAAAUGAUAUAAACUCUAUGAGCCUCUUUCCUUAUCUUUAAAAUGAAGAGAAGUAAUACCUACCUUGUAGGGCUGUUGUGAGGAUUAAAUGAAGUAAUGCAUACAGUGCCUAACAAAGUAUUUAACAUCAUAUUUUUUAAAAGCUCAUGAAAUAUUAGUUUUUCUUCCUUCCCCUCUUUCUAUUUUCUCUCCUGUUCCCUUUUCUCUCCCUCCUCUGCCCUCUCCUUCCUUCAGAUGUUAGUCUAAAACAGCACCUUGGAUCUAAGCAGCACCUUUGAGAAAGAAAAGACUGCUUCAAGAAUGUCUAGUUGCACCUCCUUUCCGUAUGUGGCCUAAAUGCCUAGGUUGGAUCAAUAGUUUAAUUUUUUUAUUGAACUGUUUAAUAUUGACUAUGGACUUACAUUCACUUUUACUGUUUUCUGUAUAUUUACUUUUGCUUGAAGUGUUUUAAUAUUGACUAUUUACCUCUGCUCAUUUUUAUUGAUUUUCUGUAUUUUUUCAAUGAAAAUUAUAAUAAAAAUUAUUUUUGUUA